AGGAUAUUAGUUAAACAAUUAUAACAUUUAAUUUGCAAUUAAAAAUUACACACCUACCAAAUGUAUAUCUUA
RNAcentral lists this transfer RNA (72 nucleotides) under Pheidole smythiesii. RNAcentral's name for it is "tRNA-Ala". It matches the Rfam family "tRNA". Rfam says of the family: Transfer RNA (tRNA) molecules are approximately 80 nucleotides in length. The record is from RNAcentral. Lineage: Eukaryota; Metazoa; Arthropoda; Insecta; Hymenoptera; Formicidae.